UAGGGAAUAUUGGGGCAAUGGGGCGCAAGCCUGACCCAGCAACGCCGCGUGAAGGAAGACGGUCUUCGGAUUGUAAACUUUUGUUCUUGGUGAAGAAAAUGACGGUAGCCAAGGAGGAAGCCACGGCUAACUACGUGCCAGCAGCCGCGGUAAUACGUAGGUGGCAAGCGUUGUCCGGAAUUACUGGGUGUAAAGGGAGCGCAGGCGGGAAAUCAAGUUGGAUGUGAAAUGUCGGGGCUUAACCCCGGAACUGCAUCCAAAACUGAUAUUCUUGAGUGAAGUAGAGGUAGGCGGAAUUCCGAGUGUAGCGGUGAAAUGCGUAGAUAUUCGGAGGAACACCAGUGGCGAAGGCGGCCUACUGGGCUUUAACUGACGCUGAGGCUCGAAAGUGUGGGGAGUAAACAGGAUUAGAUACCCUGGUAGU
Molecule: ribosomal RNA, 424 nt
Filed under: uncultured Eubacterium sp.
Lineage: Bacteria; Bacillati; Bacillota; Clostridia; Eubacteriales; Eubacteriaceae
Description: bacterial SSU rRNA
Rfam family: Bacterial small subunit ribosomal RNA
Source: RNAcentral